GUGGGGAAUCUUGCGCAAUGGGCGAAAGCCUGACGCAGCCAUGCCGCGUGAAUGAUGAAGGUCUUAGGAUUGUAAAAUUCUUUCACCGGGGACGAUAAUGACGGUACCCGGAGAAGAAGCCCCGGCUAACUUCGUGCCAGCAGCCGCGGUAAUACGAAGGGGGCUAGCGUUGCUCGGAAUUACUGGGCGUAAAGGGCGCGUAGGCGGACAGUUUAGUCAGAGGUGAAAGCCCAGGGCUCAACCUUGGAAUUGCCUUUGAUACUGGCUGUCUUGAGUACGGGAGAGGUGAGAGGAACUCCGAGUGUAGAGGUGAAAUUCGUAGAUAUUCGGAAGAACACCAGUGGCGAAGGCGACUCACUGGCCCGUUACUGACGCUGAGGCGCGAAAGCGUGGGGAGCAAACAGGAUUAGAUACCCCAGUAGUCC
Molecule: ribosomal RNA, 425 nt
Filed under: uncultured bacterium
Lineage: Bacteria
Description: partial 16S ribosomal RNA
Rfam family: Bacterial small subunit ribosomal RNA
Source: RNAcentral